This 517-nucleotide ribosomal RNA is filed under the name uncultured crenarchaeote. Its description in RNAcentral is "bacterial SSU rRNA". It matches the Rfam family "Archaeal small subunit ribosomal RNA", at positions 361 to 879 of the family's 1478-position model. Lineage: Archaea; Thermoproteati; Thermoproteota. The record is from RNAcentral.
CGAAGCGUGACRGGGCUAYCCCGAGUGCCGUCCGCUGAGGAUGGCUUUUCUCUGGUGUAGAUGAGCCGGAGGAAUAAGGAGAGGGCAAGUCUGGUGUCAGCCGCCGCGGUAAUACCAGCUCUCCGAGUGGURGGGAUGAUUAUUGGGCCUAAAGCGUCCGUAGCCGGCURAGCAAGUUUCCCGUUAAAUCCAGCGAUCCAAUCGUUGGACUGCGGGAAAUACUGUUUGGCUAGGGGGCGAGAGAGGCCAACGGUAUUCUCGGGGUAGGGGUGAAAUCCUAUAAUCCCGGGAGGACCACCAGUGGCGAAGCUGUUGGCUAGAACGCGCCCGACGUGAGGGACGAAAGCUGGGGGAGCGAACCGGAAUUAGAUACCCGGGUAGUCCCAGCUGUAAACGAUGCAGGCUAGGUGUUAGGGCGGCUACGAGCCGCUCUAGUGCCGCAGGGAAGCCAUUAAGCCUGCCGCCUGGGGAGUACGGCCGCAAGGCUGAAACUUAAAGGAAUUGGCGGGGGGAGCAC